Molecule: ribosomal RNA, 300 nt
Filed under: uncultured Bacillus sp.
Lineage: Bacteria; Bacillati; Bacillota; Bacilli; Caryophanales; Bacillaceae
Description: bacterial SSU rRNA
Rfam family: Bacterial small subunit ribosomal RNA
Source: RNAcentral
GCUAACUAGGUGCGAGGAGGGCUGGUAAUACGGAGGGGGCGGUCGUUAAUCGGAAUUACUGGGCGUAAAGCGUGCGCAGGCGGUUUCGUAAGCUGGAGGUGAAAUACCCGGGCUUAACCUGGGAAUGGCCUUCAGGACUGCGAGGCUAGAGUGCAGCAGAGGGAGGUGGAAUUCCACGUGUAGCAGUGAAAUGCGUAGAGAUGUGGAGGAACACCGAUGGCGAAGGCAGCCUCCUGGGCCAGCACUGACGCUCAUGCACGAAAGCGUGGGGAGCAAACAGGAUUAGAUACCCUGGUAGUC